Molecule: ribosomal RNA, 465 nt
Filed under: Vreelandella stevensii
Lineage: Bacteria; Pseudomonadati; Pseudomonadota; Gammaproteobacteria; Oceanospirillales; Halomonadaceae
Description: partial 16S ribosomal RNA
Rfam family: Bacterial small subunit ribosomal RNA
Source: RNAcentral
CCUACGGGUGGCAGCAGUGGGGAAUAUUGGACAAUGGGGGCAACCCUGAUCCAGCCAUGCCGCGUGUGUGAAGAAGGCCCUCGGGUUGUAAAGCACUUUCAGUGAGGAAGAACGCCUGGUGGUUAAUACCCAUCAGGAAAGACAUCACUCACAGAAGAAGCACCGGCUAACUCCGUGCCAGCAGCCGCGGUAAUACGGAGGGUGCGAGCGUUAAUCGGAAUUACUGGGCGUAAAGCGCGCGUAGGUGGCUUGAUAAGCCGGUUGUGAAAGCCCCGGGCUCAACCUGGGAACGGCAUCCGGAACUGUCAAGCUAGAGUGCAGGAGAGGAAGGUAGAAUUCCCGGUGUAGCGGUGAAAUGCGUAGAGAUCGGGAGGAAUACCAGUGGCGAAGGCGGCCUUCUGGACUGACACUGACACUGAGGUGCGAAAGCGUGGGUAGCAAACAGGACUAGAUACCCCAGUAGUC